ACAGCAUGGUGUGAGCAUUUACGAAUGAGGUCCUUAAGUCUCUUCCAUAUUUCAUGAAAUAAAUCUCCAUCCAUUUGGGAAAAAUUAGUAAUGGCUUUUCUAAUUU
Molecule: small nucleolar RNA, 106 nt
Organism: Elaeis guineensis (African oil palm)
Lineage: Eukaryota; Viridiplantae; Streptophyta; Magnoliopsida; Arecales; Arecaceae
Source: RefSeq, a predicted model, not a curated record